Molecule: ribosomal RNA, 253 nt
Filed under: uncultured bacterium
Lineage: Bacteria
Description: partial 16S ribosomal RNA
Rfam family: Bacterial small subunit ribosomal RNA
Source: RNAcentral
UACGUAGGGUGCAAGCGUUGUCCGGAAUUAUUGGGCGUAAAGAGCUCGUAGGCGGUCUGUCGCGUCUGCUGUGAAAUCCCGAGGCUCAACCUCGGGCCUGCAGUGGGUACGGGCAGACUAGAGUGCGGUAGGGGAGAUUGGAAUUCCUGGUCGUAGCGGUGGAAUGCGCAGAUAUCAGGAGGAACACCGAUGGCGAAGGCAGAUCUCUGGGCCGAUACUGACGCGAGGAGCGAAAGCGUGGGGAGCGAACAGG